GCCUACGGGGGGCAGCAGUGGGGAAUAUUGCACAAUGGGCGAAAGCCUGAUGCAGCAACGCCGCGUGAAGGAAGAAGGUCUUCGGAUCGUAAACUUCUGUCCUUGGGGAAGAUAAUGACGGUACCCUUGGAGGAAGCCCCGGCUAACUACGUGCCAGCAGCCGCGGUAAUACGUAGGGGGCAAGCGUUAUCCGGAUUUACUGGGUGUAAAGGGAGCGUAGACGGCGAUGCAAGUCUGAAGUGAAAGGCGGGGGCCCAACCCCCGGACUGCUUUGGAAACUGUAUGGCUGGAGUGCAGGAGGGGUG
This 305-nucleotide ribosomal RNA is filed under the name uncultured bacterium. RNAcentral describes it as "bacterial SSU rRNA". It matches the Rfam family "Bacterial small subunit ribosomal RNA", at positions 337 to 659 of the family's 1533-position model. The record is from RNAcentral.